RNAcentral lists this ribosomal RNA (509 nucleotides) under Fusarium equiseti. Its description in RNAcentral is "eukaryotic LSU rRNA". The stretch from base 151 to 304 matches the Rfam family "5.8S ribosomal RNA". Lineage: Eukaryota; Fungi; Ascomycota; Sordariomycetes; Hypocreales; Nectriaceae. The record is from RNAcentral.
GGUUACCGAGCUUUCACUCCCAACCCCUGUGACAUACCUAUACGUUGCCUCGGCGGAUCAGCCCGCGCCCUGUAAAAAGGGACGGCCCGCCCGAGGACCCUAAACUCUGUUUUUAGUGGAACUUCUGAGUAAAACAAACAAAUAAAUCAAAACUUUCAACAACGGAUCUCUUGGUUCUGGCAUCGAUGAAGAACGCAGCAAAAUGCGAUAAGUAAUGUGAAUUGCAGAAUUCAGUGAAUCAUCGAAUCUUUGAACGCACAUUGCGCCCGCCAGUAUUCUGGCGGGCAUGCCUGUUCGAGCGUCAUUUCAACCCUCAAGCUCAGCUUGGUGUUGGGACUCGCGGUAACCCGCGUUCCCCAAAUCGAUUGGCGGUCACGUCGAGCUUCCAUAGCGUAGUAAUCAUACACCUCGUUACUGGUAAUCGUCGCGGCCACGCCGUAAAACCCCAACUUCUGAAUGUUGACCUCGGAUCAGGUAGGAAUACCCGCUGAACUUAAGCAUAUCAAAAG